Molecule: long non-coding RNA, 1031 nt
Organism: Electrophorus electricus (electric eel)
Lineage: Eukaryota; Metazoa; Chordata; Actinopteri; Gymnotiformes; Gymnotidae
Source: Ensembl
GAGAAGGGGCAAGGCUCCAGGCUCCACGCCCACCCACCUCUGCUCCGCAUGCACAGCAGGAGUCCGGAGAGCCCCCACACCAACACGGCCACCAAGGACCUUGUGCGUGACCCCCCUGCACACUCCUGCGUCUCGUCUCGCUCCCCCUCAUCCCCGCCGCAGCACCGGCUACACAUGCCCGUGGAGCGCUGGGCUGAAAACGUCAACAGAUACUACAUCUCCCAGAAUGCUUUGAGGCCACGGUGUGGCUCACCCUGUGAGGAGCUGUCUGAACUCGACUCGCUGUACAGGGCCAGCCUGCGGGCUCCCAGCAUGCCCCGGAGCCCCUGUGUGCCCAGUCCACACCCUACUGGUAGACAAGGCCCUGCUUCAGCACGUAAGCUGUCAGCUGGACCCCUGGGCCGCUCCAAAACCCCCACCGCAGAGCUGGAGAGGAGUGCCUACAGCAAAUCCUCCCACCCCAGCAACACCGCAUACAGACCUGUGUCUCCUGCAGUGUGUGCCAUGCCGCUAGGUGAGGAUGAGCAGUACAGCGCUGAGAACAUGCGCCGAAUCGCCCGGAGUCUCAGUGGGAGCGUGAUUGGGGGACAUGCCCAAACCUUGCCCUCCUCCCACAGUCUCAGUGGCAACGUGAUUGGGGGGCAGGCCAACACCAGCCCCUCCUCUCACAGUCUUAGUAGGGGUGUGAUUGGGCGAGAGGCAGACACCACCGUCUCCUCCCGCAGUCUCAGUGGGUGCAUCGUUGGGGGGCGAGCCCAGACCAUUGCCUUCUCCCACAGCUCAGACCACGCUGGCCCGCGGACGGUGAAGCACGCGGACGUGCACCACCUUAGCACCUCCCUGAAUGCUCCACCUUUCCCCCGUGCUCCUCCGCAGUCCAGCCGUGAACUCGUACACCAGCGUCUGCGUCCUGGCCAGCCGAUGUCUCUACCUCGGACGGCCUUGUGGCCCUGUGCGUUGGGGCCCUCUCGUGGACACCCAGGAGAGUCCCAGAAAGAGCUUCUGGCUUUGCCUGACCGGGGUGAAGCUGC